RNAcentral lists this ribosomal RNA (180 nucleotides) under uncultured Glomeromycotina. RNAcentral's name for it is "partial small subunit ribosomal RNA". The record is from RNAcentral. Lineage: Eukaryota; Fungi; Glomeromycota.
GGCCUGGUUGGGUGGUCUUGCCGCAAGGUAAGCACUGCUCCGAUCGGGUCUUUCCUUCUGGGGAACCAGCGUGCUCUUAAUUGGGUGCGUUGGGGAUCCAGGACUUUUACUUUGAAAAAUUAGAGUGUUUAAAGCAGGCAAGCGCUUGAAUACAUUAGCAUGGAAUAAUGAAAUAGGACG